ACCACACCUGUCCCCCAGCACACCAUACCUGUCCCCCCCAGCACACCAUACCUGUCCCCCCAGCACACCACACCUGUCCCCCCAGCACACUACACCUGUCCCCCCAGCACACCAUACCUGUCCCCCCCAGCACACCACAUCUGUCCCCCAGCACAUACCUGUCCCCCACAGCACACCAUACCUGUUCCCCAGCACACUACACCUGUCCCUGCAGCACACCAUACCUGUCCCCCAGCACACACCUGUCCCUGCAGCACACCAUACCUGUCCCCCAGCACACACCUGUCCCUGCAGCACACCAUACCUGUCCCCCAGCACACACCUGUCCCUGCAGCACACCAUACCUGUCCCCCAGCACACACCUGUCCCUGCAGCACACCAUACCUGUCCCCCAGCACACACCUGUCCCUGCAGCACACCAUACCUGUCCCCCAGCACACACCUGUCCCUGCAGCACACCAUACCUGACCUGUCCCCCCAGCACACCACACCUGUCCCCCCAGCACACCACACCUGUCCCCCAAGCAAACCAUACCUGUUCCCCAGCACACCACACCUGUACCCCAGAACACCAUACCUGUUUCCCAGCACACCAUACCUGUCCCCCCAGUACAUACCUGUUCCCCAGCACACACCUGUACCCCCAGCACACUGCACCUGUCCCCCCAACACAGCAUACCUGUCCCCCCAGCACACCAUACCUGUCCCCCCAGUACAUACCUGUUCCCCAGCACACACCUGUACCCCCAGCACACUGCACCUGUCCCCCCAACACAGCAUACCUGUCCCCCCAGCACACCAUACCUGUCCCCCCAGUACAUACCUGUUCCCCAGCACACACCUGUACCCCCAGCACACUGCACCUGUCCCCCCAACACAGCAUACCUGUCCCCCCAGCACACCAUACCUGUCCCUGCAGCACACCAUACCUGUUCCCCAGCACACCACACCUGUCCCCACCCGCAUACCUGUUCCCCAGCACACACCUGUCCCCCCAGCACACUACACCUAUCCCCCCAGCACACCACACCUGUCCCUGCAGCACACCAUACCUGUUCCCCAGCACACACCUGUCCCCCCAGCACACUACACCUGUCCCCCAGCACACUACACCUGUCCCCCCAGCACACUACACCUGUC
RNAcentral lists this long non-coding RNA (1140 nucleotides) under Ursus maritimus (polar bear). Its description in RNAcentral is "lncRNA (ENSUMAG00000004078.1)". Lineage: Eukaryota; Metazoa; Chordata; Mammalia; Carnivora; Ursidae. The record is from RNAcentral.